AUGCCGUUCAGCCUCAGCUCGUGCAGCCCCACAGCACACAGGGCCUGGCAGUCAGCGAGGAGCCCCGCGCGCUGUGUGCAGUGUAGCUGCUGUCUGCUUUUUAUAAAUUCCUCCCGAAGCAGAUUGCUAAUUGCUCCUGAUUUCUGCUCUUCUAAAAUAAGCUCAGACUGCAAUCUGCAUAGAUGCUGCAGAAGGACUAAUGAACUGCCCGCCCACCUGAAGCUCCAGCAAGGCGCAGCAUGUGGGCACGGCUCCUGCCGGCCACCGGGGCCAGCCCCGCGUGGACACCUCGCAGCGCACGGUGCGGCCCCUCGAGGACCCAGCGAGGUCAGGGAGUGCGGGGAAGAACCCCACGCUGAUGCCAAAUUGGCUGCGCCCUGCGUGCAGCACAACACCCCUGGCUUGUGUCAGCUGGUGCCGGGGGGCUCUGAGCACCCACGGCUCUGCUGCUGCCCCUGGUCCCUGCGACGCACUGGGAGGCUGAAGGGGCACGCGGGCACCGCUCUCUGCAAAGCCAUGGGUUUUAUCAAGGGUAGAGCAGUGCUGGAAGUGAAGACUAGAAGGAUGCACAGGAACCCGCAUCGCCGAGAGCAGGCUGGGGCAGCACGGGGAGGCUCGGCGGUGGCACGGCCCCGCAGGGAAAGCGAGCUGUGUGCCGCGGGGCUGAGCCUUGCGCUGCAGGUUGUGGCUGCAGACGGUGGCACCGAGCAGCAGGCGUGGUUAUGGACACAAACCUCACUGCAAACAAACCCCUCACGCAGCACAUCUCAUGACUGUAUCGCCAGAUACUCUUCCACAGCAAAAGCACAUCAAAACACUGCUUUCCCUUUAUCUUCCCGAAUUGUCAGCUGCGACUGUGACAACCUCAACGCACACCCACCACUUAGCACGAAGGCACACUGCUCCAAAAUCCCUGCCAGCCAUCUCCACUGCCAAACACAGGAACACCACCAAUUCCUCCAUUUACCUCCCUGCAGGAGGACCAAGCUGUUUUCCAGCCAUUAA
Molecule: long non-coding RNA, 1005 nt
Filed under: Anas platyrhynchos platyrhynchos (common mallard)
Lineage: Eukaryota; Metazoa; Chordata; Aves; Anseriformes; Anatidae
Description: lncRNA (ENSAPLG00000023251.1)
Source: RNAcentral